AUUGAACGCUGGCGGCAUGCCUUACACAUGCAAGUCGAACGGCAGCACGGACUUCGGUCUGGUGGCGAGUGGCGAACGGGUGAGUAAUAUAUCGGAACAUACCCUAGAGUGGGGGAUAACGUAGCGAAAGUUACGCUAAUACCGCAUACGAACUAAGGUUGAAAGCGGGGGAUCUUCGGACCUCGUGCUCAUGGAGUGGCCGAUAUCUGAUUAGCUAGUUGGUGAGGUAAAAGGCUCACCAAGGCGACGAUCAGUAGCUGGUUUGAGAGAACGACCAGCCACACUGGAACUGAGACACGGUCCAGACUCCUACGGGAGGCAGCAGUGGGGAAUUUUGGACAAUGGGCGCAAGCCUGAUCCAGCAAUGCGCGUGAGUGAAGAAGGCCUC
This 388-nucleotide ribosomal RNA is filed under the name uncultured bacterium. RNAcentral describes it as "bacterial SSU rRNA". It matches the Rfam family "Bacterial small subunit ribosomal RNA", at positions 30 to 418 of the family's 1533-position model. The record is from RNAcentral.